UAAGGUUGACCUCGGAUCAGGUAGGAAUACCCGCUGAACUUAA
This 43-nucleotide ribosomal RNA is filed under the name Colletotrichum truncatum. RNAcentral's name for it is "partial 28S ribosomal RNA". The record is from RNAcentral. Lineage: Eukaryota; Fungi; Ascomycota; Sordariomycetes; Glomerellales; Glomerellaceae. RNAcentral also lists the same sequence under 2 other names.